GUUUUAUAGUCGUCUAACAAACUGCCUGACGGUUUAAUAUUAUAGCCUUCGCGGCCUUUUCUCCUCUCAUUUUUCACCAACGGUUUGGCCGCCGCAGGAAAGGAAAAGAGGUGGGGAAGCGCGUCCAAAAAAACAGGCGGUGGAAAGGACAGACCUUUAAACACGAAGGACCCCUCCUGGGGUCCUUGUUCGCCGCCGCUGUUUGGAGAGCGAGGCGAGGAGGAAAGAGAGGCGCGCGUCGGGGCCGUUUUUUCCCCUGCUUUCAAAAUGGCGACCAAGAAUUUCCGCGUCAGCGACGGAGACUGGAUCUGUCCGGACAAGAAGUGUGGAAAUGGGUAACUUUGCUAGAAGACCAGCUGCAACAGGUGUGGGCCGAG
Molecule: long non-coding RNA, 377 nt
Organism: Sceloporus undulatus (fence lizard)
Lineage: Eukaryota; Metazoa; Chordata; Lepidosauria; Squamata; Phrynosomatidae
Exons: 2
Source: RefSeq, a predicted model, not a curated record